Molecule: long non-coding RNA, 1116 nt
Filed under: Ailuropoda melanoleuca (giant panda)
Lineage: Eukaryota; Metazoa; Chordata; Mammalia; Carnivora; Ursidae
Description: lncRNA (ENSAMEG00000028557.1)
Source: RNAcentral
UCAAUGUGAAGGAACGGUUUUGUUAUAUAAAUUUGCAUAUCCUGUCGAGGACUGGUCAGAACACUUUCAUUUCAGGGUGAAAUGAAACUUACAGGACUAAGUAUUUCAGUCUAUAGGGGGGUGGGGAGAGAAACAAAAGACAAGGUUAAUGAUGAUACUGGGGCUUCACAAUGAAUUCUGUAGGCUGUGUUCUGCUUUUGGCUCAUGGUAUCUGCAAAUUUCUAACAAAGAGUAUUAUUUGAAAACGGUCAUGGUUGUAUCUAACUGAAGGGGUUAAAAGUUGAGACUCGUUUUAAAAAGACGUGAUGGUUGCCAUUAAAGUCCUCUCUCCCUUUUAUCAAGCAGACCCUGACCGCCAGCAUCUGUGAGAGGGAACAGCAGAAAUCCGGCAAAUGGUGGGGUGAAUCCCUAGCCCUCUCGCAUGCUCACCCAAAUCAAGCAAUGCGCAUAGAGAAACACGGAAGACAUCCUCCUUCCCCGUGCUGGGAACACAGCAUUCAGGGGACCGGAGCAAUUUGUGUAUCGCGCAGAAGAGACCGUGCAGCAGGGCUGCAGACUGCUCUCCUGAGAAAGGCCCGCUUUGAAGGUUGGCCUUUGGAAUCUGGGGACUGGGAUUUCUAGUGGGUUCUCACCAUUCCCAGAAUUGAUAAGAGUGGUUCACUGCAAAUCAGCUGUUUUUGUGAACACUCUGAUGUAUGUUGAACACCGGCUGUCCUUCCAGGAGCCUGGAAUUUUGGCACGUGCAAGGCAGAGGGUGCCUAUGGGACCAGUCCCCCCACAAGAAACCCUGAGUGCCACAUCUCUAAUGAAUUUCCCUGGUAGACAACAUUUUACAUGUGCCUUGUAAACAACUGCUUGCAGGGGGAAUUCAGCUUCCUGUGGGCCUCUCCUGGGACAAGGUUCUGGAAGCUUGUGCCAGGCUUCCUCCCAUCGUUGCCCCAUGCACCCUUUCUCUAUACUGAUUUUGGUUUGUGUCCUUUCACUAUAAAGAAUCAUAGCUGUGGGUAAACUAUAUGCUGAGUCCUGUGAAUCCUCCUCAUGAAUCAUUAAACGUGGGGGUGGUCUUGGGGACCCCAAGCACAAUUUCUCCCCCCAUCUAUAAAUGUUCUAUACCAC